GAUGAACGCUGGCGGCGUGCCUAAUACAUGCAAGUCGAACGAUGAGCCCGGAGCUUGCUCCGGCGGAUUAGUGGCGAACGGGUGAGUAACACGUGGGUAACCUGCCCAUAAGACUGGGAUAACUCCGGGAAACCGGGGCUAAUACCGGAUAACAUUUUGAACCGCAUGGUUCGAAAUUGAAAGGCGGCUUCGGCUGUCACUUAUGGAUGGACCCGCGUCGCAUUAGCUAGUUGGUGAGGUAACGGCUCACCAAGGCAACGAUGCGUAGCCGACCUGAGAGGGUGAUCGGCCACACUGGGACUGCGACACGGCCCAGACUCCUACGGGAGGCAGCAGUAGGGAAUCUUCCGCAAUGGACGAAAGUCUGACGGAGCAACGCCGCGUGAGUGAUGAAGGCUUUCGGGUCGUAAAACUCUGUUGUUAGGGAAGAACAAGUGCUAGUUGAAUAAGCUGGCACCUUGACGGUACCUAACCAGAAAGCCACGGCUAACUACGUGCCAGCAGCCGCCGUAA
This 513-nucleotide ribosomal RNA is filed under the name uncultured bacterium. RNAcentral describes it as "partial 16S ribosomal RNA". It matches the Rfam family "Bacterial small subunit ribosomal RNA", at positions 28 to 523 of the family's 1533-position model. The record is from RNAcentral.